This 29-nucleotide non-coding RNA is filed under the name Rattus norvegicus (Norway rat). Lineage: Eukaryota; Metazoa; Chordata; Mammalia; Rodentia; Muridae. The record is from RNAcentral.
UGAAACAAAGGUGGUUGUAGAAUUUGUUU